AUUUCAUUCAAGAACUGAUCCACUGUUCUGCUUUGCACUGUUUGCAUUCAAAGACUCUCAUUUUGCCUGAAUCAUUCUCCUCUCUCAUCCUAGCAGUGUCUACAGCAUUUUCUUGUUUUACAGUACUCUGAGGAUGUGGAUCUGUUGAAUAAAACUCUGAAUGACUUAGUGAAAAUAAAAUUAAAAAUCAAAGGAAAAACAAAUAAACAACCCUUGCAUCACCCACUAAUUAGAGUUUUAAUGGAAAAGAAGAAAGUAUUGUGCUGUAAAAUAAAUUACGUCUUGCAUGUACUGUAGUAUAGAUAUCUUAAAGUGUUUAAAUAUUACAUUCACUUUGGUGAUGUGCUUUUGCCUAUGCCUAUAAUAAAUUAUACGUGGCAUGUGCUAGUUAUUCAUGUGUGCUGAUAACAGCCUUCUGGUUUUACUACAAACGAGGAAAGGUUAGCACAUUUAGGGAAUUUGAAAAGUGUUUCUGGUUUAUCUAAGAGAGACACAGUCUAAUUCAAAGCAGCUUUCCUACUAUCAUGUUCCUCUCCCCCACGCUCCCAAAAAAGUU
RNAcentral lists this long non-coding RNA (556 nucleotides) under Gallus gallus (chicken). The record is from RNAcentral. Lineage: Eukaryota; Metazoa; Chordata; Aves; Galliformes; Phasianidae.